Molecule: ribosomal RNA, 326 nt
Filed under: uncultured fungus
Lineage: Eukaryota; Fungi
Description: SSU rRNA
Rfam family: Eukaryotic small subunit ribosomal RNA
Source: RNAcentral
AAAGAUUAAGCCAUGCAUGUCUAAGUAUAAACAACUUUAUACUGUAAAACUGCGAACGGCUCAUUAUAUCAGCAAUAAUUUAUUUGAUGGUUUCUUACUACAUGGAUAACUGUAGUAAUUCUAGAGCUAAUACAUGCGUAAAGUCCCAACUCUUGCGGGGAGGGAUGUAUUUAUUAGAUAAAAAACCAAUGCGGGUUCUGCUCGCCUUUGUGUUGAAUCAUAGUAACUUUUCGAACGCCAUAGCCUUGUGCUGGGCGUAGAUCAUUCAAAUUUCUGCCCUAUCAGCUUUCGACGGUAGUGUAGUGGACUACCGUGGCGUUAACGGG